GGUUCCGUAGUCUAGUGGUUAGGCAGAGCUCUGCAAAAGCUCCUACGUCGGUUCGAUUCCGUCCGGAACCU
Molecule: transfer RNA, 71 nt
Filed under: Kapaibacterium sp. (SeqCode)
Lineage: Bacteria; Pseudomonadati; Bacteroidota; Eximiradiia; Eximiradiales; Kapaibacteriaceae (SeqCode)
Description: tRNA-Cys
Rfam family: tRNA
About the family: Transfer RNA (tRNA) molecules are approximately 80 nucleotides in length. Their secondary structure includes four short double-helical elements and three loops (D, anti-codon, and T loops).
Source: RNAcentral